ACGGGUUAGUAACGCGUGGGAAUAUACCCUUCUCUACGGAAUAGCCUCGGGAAACUGAGAGUAAUACCGUAUAAGCCCUUCGGGGGAAAGAUUUAUCGGUGAAGGAUUAGCCCGCGUUAGAUUAGAUAGUUGGUGGGGUAAUGGCCUACCAAGUCUACGAUCUAUAGCUGGUUUUAGAGGACGAUCAGCAACACUGGGACUGAGACACGGCCCAGACUCCUACGGGAGGCAGCAGUGGGGAAUCUUAGACAAUGGGCGAAAGCCUGAUCUAGCCAUGCCGCGUGAGUGAUGAAGGCCCUAGGGUCGUAAAGCUCUUUCGCCAGGGAUGAUAAUGACAGUACCUGGUAAAGAAACCCCGGCUAACUCCGUGCCAGCAGCCGCGGUAAUACGGAGGGGGUUAGCGUUGUUCGGAAUUACUGGGCGUAAAGCGCGCGUAGGCGGAUUGGAAAGUUGGGGGUGAAAUCCCGGGGCUCAACCCCGGAACUGCCUCCAAAACUAUCAGUCUAGAGUUCGAGAGAGGUGAGUGGAAUUCCGAGUGUAGAGGUGGAAUUCGUAGAUAUUCGGAGGAACACCAGUGGCGAAGGCGGCUCACUGGCUCGAUACUGACGCUGAGGUGCGAAAGUGUGGGGAGCAAACAGGAUUAGAUACCCUGGUAGUCCACACCGUAAACGAUGAAUGCCAGUCGUCGGGCAGUAUACUGUUCGGUGACACACCUAACGGAUUAAGCAUUCCGCCUGGGGAGUACGGUCGCAAGAUUAAAACUCAAAGGAAUUGGCGGGGGCCCGCACAAGCGGUGGAGCAUGUGGUUUAAU
This 812-nucleotide ribosomal RNA is filed under the name uncultured bacterium. RNAcentral's name for it is "bacterial SSU rRNA". It matches the Rfam family "Bacterial small subunit ribosomal RNA", at positions 102 to 950 of the family's 1533-position model. The record is from RNAcentral.